Molecule: non-coding RNA, 181 nt
Filed under: Aeromonadales bacterium
Lineage: Bacteria; Pseudomonadati; Pseudomonadota; Gammaproteobacteria; Aeromonadales
Description: 6S RNA
Rfam family: 6S / SsrS RNA
About the family: E. coli 6S RNA was the first non coding RNA to be sequenced, but its function was unknown until recently.
Source: RNAcentral
GAUGUUCUGAUCUGUUCGCCAGUGACGUCUGUCCUCGAGCCGAUAAAUUUAUAUCAGGUCUUCAUUCUCACUGAUGUUGUGCAUGUCCGACAGGUAUCGGAAAGCCUGAUUUGGUGACUGAACACCGCCUUGAACCUCAGGGUUCAAGGGCUACAGUUACAGCGGCAGUUAUUGGGCAUCA